UACGUAGGGUGCGAGCGUUAAUCGGAAUUACGGGGCGUAAAGUGUGCGCAGGCGGCUUUGCAAGACAGAUGUGAAAUCCCCGGGCUCAACCUGGGAACUGCAUUUGUGACUGCAAGGCUAGAGUACGGCAGAGGGGGAUGGAAUUCCGCGUGUAGCAGUGAAAUGCGUAGAUAUGCGGAGGAACACCAAUGGCGAAGGCAAUCCCCUGGGCCUGUACUGACGCUCAUGCACGAAAGCGUGGGGAGCAAACAGG
RNAcentral lists this ribosomal RNA (253 nucleotides) under uncultured bacterium. RNAcentral describes it as "partial 16S ribosomal RNA". It matches the Rfam family "Bacterial small subunit ribosomal RNA", at positions 524 to 776 of the family's 1533-position model. The record is from RNAcentral.